This 427-nucleotide ribosomal RNA is filed under the name uncultured bacterium. Its description in RNAcentral is "bacterial SSU rRNA". It matches the Rfam family "Bacterial small subunit ribosomal RNA", at positions 355 to 775 of the family's 1533-position model. The record is from RNAcentral.
UGGGGAAUCUUGCGCAAUGGACGAAAGUCUGACGCAGCGACGCCGCGUGGGUGAUGAAGGCCUUCGGGUUGUAAAGCCCUGUGGGGAGAGACGAAUAAGUGUAGCCUAAUACGUUACAUGAUGACGGUAUCUCCUUAGCAAGCACCGGCUAACUCUGUGCCAGCAGCCGCGGUAAGACAGAGGGUGCAAACGUUGUUCGGAAUUACUGGGCGUAAAGCGUGUGUAGGCGGCUACGUAAGUCGGAUGUGAAAGCCCCAGGCUCAACCUGGGAAGUGCACUCGAUACUGCGUAGCUUGAGUAUCGGAGAGGUUGGUGGAAUUCUCGGUGUAGAGGUGAAAUUCGUAGAUAUCGAGAGGAACACCGGUGGCGAAGGCGGCCAACUGGACGAAUACUGACGCUGAGACACGAAAGCGUGGGGAGCAAACAG